AGCGAACGCUGGCGGCAGGCUUAACACAUGCAAGUCGAGCGGGCACUUUCGGGUGUCAGCGGCGGACGGGUGAGUAACGCGUGGGAACGUGCCUUCUGGUUCGGAAUAACUCAGGGAAACUUGAGCUAAUACCGGAUACGCCCUUUUGGGGAAAGGCUUGCUGCCGGAGGAUCGGCCCGCGUCUGAUUAGCUAGUUGGUGAGGUAACGGCUCACCAAGGCGACGAUCAGUAGCUGGUCUGAGAGGAUGAUCAGCCACACUGGGACUGAGACACGGCCCAGACUCCUACGGGAGGCAGCAGUGGGGAAUAUUGGACAAUGGGCGCAAGCCUGAUCCAGCCAUGCCGCGUGAGUGAUGAAGGCCUUAGGGUUGUAAAGCUCUUUUAUCCGGGACGAUAAUGACGGUACCGGAGGAAUAAGCCCCGGCUAACUUCGUG
This 435-nucleotide ribosomal RNA is filed under the name uncultured bacterium. Its description in RNAcentral is "partial 16S ribosomal RNA". It matches the Rfam family "Bacterial small subunit ribosomal RNA", at positions 29 to 507 of the family's 1533-position model. The record is from RNAcentral.